This 636-nucleotide ribosomal RNA is filed under the name uncultured Nitzschia. Its description in RNAcentral is "partial Bacterial large subunit ribosomal RNA". It matches the Rfam family "Bacterial large subunit ribosomal RNA", at positions 540 to 1172 of the family's 2925-position model. The record is from RNAcentral. Lineage: Eukaryota; Bacillariophyta; Bacillariophyceae; Bacillariales; Bacillariaceae.
GAAACAGUACCUGAAACCGAACGCCUACAAUCAGUCGGAGCCCCCUUGCGGGGUGACGGCGUACCUUUUGUAUAAUGGGUCAUCGACUUGGUCUAUCUAGCAAGCUUAAGCCGUUAGGUGUAGGCGCAGCGAAAGCGAGUCUUAAUAGGGCGCAGAGUUCGUGGGAUCAGACCCGAAACCGAGUGAUCUAGGCAUGACCAGGAUGAAGGCAAGGUAACACUUGCUGGAGGUCCGAACCCACACCUGUUGAAAAAGGUCGGGAUGAGUUGUGCCUAGGGGUGAAAGGCCAAUCAAACUCGGAGAUAGCUGGUUCUCCGCGAAAUCUAUUUAGGUAGAGCGUCGAGCGAAUACCCCGGGGGGUAGAGCACUGGAUGGGUAAUGGGGCCCCACAGGCUUACUGAUCCUAACCAAACUCCGAAUACCGGGGAGUACUAGAUGGCAGACACACAGCGGAUGCUAACGUCCGUUGUGGAGAGGGAAACAACCCUGACCUCCAGCUAAGGCCCCUAAUUCAUGGCUAAGUGGGAAAGCAGGUGGGACGACCAAAACAACCAGGAGGUUGGCUUAGAAGCAGCCAUCCUUUAAAGAUAGCGUAACAGCUCACUGGUCUAAAUAAGUUGUCCUGCGGCGAAGAUG